GGAAACGUAACAGGAAACCGGAAGUAGGAAGUGUUGCCGUUUGUUUUCGUCGGAAGCACGCCUCAGUUUACCUAAGUGGCAGAGGAAGCCAAACACCACCAUGACAGUGGCCGGCGUCAGAAUGGUCCCAAAAACCAGCGCAGCAAGGCCAGCGUUGAUUGCGGCAAUCACCAGGUUCUGAGCUGUCACCAACACCGAGCAGGCCCAGCAGUCCAGGGACCCCCGCAGCUCCAGCGGAGUGUCGCUGCUCCCGCCGCCAUUUUCAGCUGCACAGUAGGGAGGAGGAGUUUUGGUUAUGGCUAAGGAAAGGAGCUCUGUCACCGGGAGCCGGAGGAUGACGCCUGGUGCGUGUGGAAGAAGACGUGUCUUUGAUGGGAGCCACCAGUUGGUCCCGCAGGAUCUGGAUGUGCUUCAUGGACUGCAGCAGGCAGUGUCUGGAAGGAGGGUAAGCAGACCCGUCAAAGUGUGAUACUGUAGUCAACGUUAGCAUGUUUCAUUGGGAAGUUGGUAGAACUUUGCGGUGCUUGAUCCUGGUCCUCAGAGAAUCCUAACCUGGAUGUUUCCUCUCUCUUACUGAUUAUAGAGAGAGAAAAUGUCCAGUUUAGGAUUCUCUGAGCUGUAUUCUGAAUGACUUCCUGAUCAAACAUGUCAGUAAUGGUGAGACUCUUAGAGGACGCCUCACUGGAAGUGUCACUUCAUUUUUUGUGAAGUUGUCCGUCCUCUGAUACGUAAGAGAUGAUUCCAGCAGCAUUACACUGUAUGUUGGCAUCAAACUGCAGAAAAAAGAAAAUUUAAAAGCUUUUGUCACUCAUUUAAUCCCGGUUGUGGCCCUGUGACAGACUGGUGUCCUGUCCAGGGUGGACCCCGCCUCGCACCCUAUGACCGCUGGGAUGGGCUCCAGCACCCCCUUAAUUGGAGUAAGUGGGUAUAGAAAGUGGAUUAUCCACAAUUGGCAGCUAAUGAUCAAAAUAAGUUAAUAUUAAUCUCUUAUGUAUCAGAGGAUGAUACAGUCAGGUCCAUAAGUAUUUGGACAGCAGGAAUUCUUUUAGCUUUGCCUCUCAACAUCAUCACAGCGGCAUUGAAGACAAGAUGUGCUUGUAAUGUGGACUUUUAGCUGUGAUUCAAGGGGUUUAAUCAAAAAAUGCUGCAUUGACCAACACAACUGUGACUGGAGCCAUGGAAAAACAUCAUGGGUGGCUUCCCUCACUCGUCUUCUUCCUGCACGGUCAUUGUGAGCCGUCUACUCCAGACAGAAGACUGAUGUAAAUUAAGUUCAAGAAAUAUUAUCUAAAGCAGGGGUUCUCAAGGACCCCUGAACCUGUGCGUUGUCCAUCUCUUCCUGCCCUGCCACAAGCUGAUUUGCUAAUUCAGGUGUGCAGGUUCAGGGGUCCUUGGGGACUGGAUUGAGAACCCCCGAUCUAAAGAAAACUGGCUGUAAAAGUGAUAACUUGUCCAACUUAUACCAGUGGUG
Molecule: long non-coding RNA, 1471 nt
Organism: Thalassophryne amazonica
Lineage: Eukaryota; Metazoa; Chordata; Actinopteri; Batrachoidiformes; Batrachoididae
Exons: 5
Source: RefSeq, a predicted model, not a curated record